This 301-nucleotide ribosomal RNA is filed under the name uncultured bacterium. RNAcentral's name for it is "partial 16S ribosomal RNA". It matches the Rfam family "Bacterial small subunit ribosomal RNA", at positions 509 to 807 of the family's 1533-position model. The record is from RNAcentral.
CAGCCGCCGCGGUAAUACGUAGGUGGCAAGCGUUGUCCGGAAUUAUUGGGCGUAAAGGGCUCGCAGGCGGUUUCUUAAGUCUGAUGUGAAAGCCCCCGGCUCAACCGGGGAGGGUCAUUGGAAACUGGGAAACUUGAGUGCAGAAGAGGAGAGUGGAAUUCCACGUGUAGCGGUGAAAUGCGUAGAGAUGUGGAGGAACACCAGCGGCGAAGGCGACUCUCUGGUCUGUAACUGACGCUGAGGAGCGAAAGCGUGGGGAGCGAACAGGAUUAGAUACCCCUGUAGUCCCUGUCUCUUAUAC